CUGUUGUAUGAAAAGACAGAAGGUUAGCACUCUCCUUGACAAGGAUGGAUGAAGCCCUCCCCGACAAGUACAUACAUGGUUAAGGCAUUGCCACCUACUUAGUGGCAUCUAACCAUCAUUUUUG
Small nuclear RNA from Cynocephalus volans (Philippine flying lemur), 124 nucleotides. The record is from RefSeq and is a predicted model, not a curated record. Lineage: Eukaryota; Metazoa; Chordata; Mammalia; Dermoptera; Cynocephalidae.